Molecule: ribosomal RNA, 400 nt
Filed under: uncultured bacterium
Lineage: Bacteria
Description: bacterial SSU rRNA
Rfam family: Bacterial small subunit ribosomal RNA
Source: RNAcentral
UGCAGUCGAGCGGUAGAGAGAAGCUUGCUUCUCUUGAGAGCGGCGGACGGGUGAGUAAUGCCUAGGAAUCUGCCUGGUAGUGGGGGAUAACGUUCGGAAACGGACGCUAAUACCGCAUACGUCCUACGGGAGAAAGCAGGGGACCUUCGGGCCUUGCGCUAUCAGAUGAGCCUAGGUCGGAUUAGCUAGUUGGUGGGGUAAUGGCUCACCAAGGCGACGAUCCGUAACUGGUCUGAGAGGAUGAUCAGUCACACUGGAACUGAGACACGGUCCACACUCCUACGGGAGGCAGCAGUGGGGAAUAUUGGACAAUGGGCGAAAGCCUGAUCCAGCCAUGCCGCGUGUGUGAAGAAGGUCUUCGGAUUGUAAAGCACUUUAAGUUGGGAGGAAGGGUUGUAGA